Parelaphostrongylus tenuis is the source of this 73-nucleotide non-coding RNA. The record is from the annotation of a GenBank genome assembly. Lineage: Eukaryota; Metazoa; Nematoda; Chromadorea; Rhabditida; Metastrongylidae.
GGUUUUGUGGUGUAGUGGUUGUGACGUCUGCUCAACGCACAGAAGGUCGCCGGUUUGAUCCCGGUAAGGAUCU